UACAGAGGGUGCAAGCGUUGUUCGGAAUUAUUGGGCGUAAAGCGCGUGUAGGCGGCUUUGCAAGUCGGGUGUGAAAGCCCUCAGCUCAACUGAGGAAGUGCGCCCGAAACUGCAGAGCUUGAGUACCGGAGAGGAUGGUGGAAUUCCGGGUGUAGCGGUGAAAUGCGUAGAUAUCCGGAGGAACACCGGUGGCGAAGGCGGCUUCCUGGACCGACACUGACGCUGAGGCGCGAAAGCUAGGGGAGCAAACGGG
Molecule: ribosomal RNA, 253 nt
Filed under: uncultured bacterium
Lineage: Bacteria
Description: partial 16S ribosomal RNA
Rfam family: Bacterial small subunit ribosomal RNA
Source: RNAcentral